Sinocyclocheilus grahami is the source of this 99-nucleotide long non-coding RNA. RefSeq lists it as uncharacterized. The record is from RefSeq and is a predicted model, not a curated record. Lineage: Eukaryota; Metazoa; Chordata; Actinopteri; Cypriniformes; Cyprinidae. The transcript has 3 exons.
UAUUUCCCAUCAACGAGGAAUUCCCAGUAAGUGCGGGUCAUAAGCUUGCGUUGAUUAAGUCCCUGCCCUUUGUACACACCGCCCCAGGGACUUAAUGAA